UGUAUGCAAUAUUAACAGGGAAGACACAAGAGGUAUAUGUAGAGUUGCUGUCUUAUAUAAGAAAUGUAUUACCAUUAAUAUACAGCCAACUGACAAUAAUUAGUGACAAUGAAUUUGGAUUGAUGGAUGGGAUUAAGAUUAUAUUCCUUGAUAGCAAUCAAGCAUCAACUAUGUUAUUUCCAUUUUUAACAAGCAAUAGUACAUUAUUUUAGAAAUAAAAAGACAGCAUUUACAAUCUCAUUAAAAGAAAUCCAAUUGCUACAUGAGUGUUGAGAUUGGUUUAAGCUUUACCAUAUCUAACUGCUGUAAGAACGGACAACUUUCCUUCAGUGGAGGAUGGAUUUCAAACAAUUGUAGAUUAUAUGAAACAAUUUCCCAAUUUCACUAUGCAUUGUGAGGGAAUUUAUUUUAUUAUAUUUGGAUGUAUCGGUUUGAAACGAUGAAACCUACUGUAAUAACAGUUUACCAAAAAGAUAUUUGACAUUCGAAUCUCAAUGAACGCCAUAUAAACAAUUUUGCAAAAUUUAUGGGUAAAUAUUUAGGUACUUAAAUGACCAAUUAAAUAUUAGUACAUUUCUGAAUAUCUUCAAUCACUUAGUAAGUUGUGUUUUAAUUUUGUUCAGGCUUUAUUAACCCUGUACAUAUUCUUAGUAUGAAAAAAAAUAUAUUUUUAGACCGUAUUAGAAAGUAUAUUAUUUAGAUAACUAUUAUUUUGAAGUUAAAGUUUGGGUAGCAAGGUGUGACAGAACAUUUAAAACAGUGUCAAAUUUAUAAGAAUUAAUGUAUACCAAAUAUUUACCU
Molecule: long non-coding RNA, 801 nt
Organism: Acyrthosiphon pisum (pea aphid)
Lineage: Eukaryota; Metazoa; Arthropoda; Insecta; Hemiptera; Aphididae
Exons: 3
Source: RefSeq, a predicted model, not a curated record